UUUUGGGUUAGGGAUUGCAGUGGCAUCCUUUUUUAUUUUUUUUCAAAAUAAAAAAGAUAUAACGGAAAGCCCGACUACGC
Tenacibaculum dicentrarchi is the source of this 80-nucleotide non-coding RNA. NCBI's taxonomy places the organism in Bacteria, Pseudomonadati, Bacteroidota, Flavobacteriia, Flavobacteriales, Flavobacteriaceae. The record is from Rfam.